Molecule: long non-coding RNA, 1579 nt
Organism: Oncorhynchus tshawytscha (Chinook salmon)
Lineage: Eukaryota; Metazoa; Chordata; Actinopteri; Salmoniformes; Salmonidae
Source: Ensembl
UGAGCAUAGGGACAGGGUAAGUUGAGCAUAGGGACAGGGUGAGUUGAGCAUAGGGACAGGGUAAGUUGAGCAUAGAGACAGGGUAAAGACAGGGUAGGGACAGGGUAAAGAGAGCAUAGGGACAGGGUAAAGAGAGCAUAGGGACAGGGUAAGUAGAGCAUAGGGACAGGGUAAGUAGAGCAUAGGGACAGGGUAAGGAGAGCAUAGGGACAGGGUAAGGAGAGCAUAGGGACAGGGUAAAGAGAGCAUAGGGACAGGGUAGGUUGAGCCAACUUGGGGUAAGUGGGUGAUUGUGUCCUGUGACAGUGGGGGCUGGUGCAUGUUCUCAGAGCGUAAGACAUUAAUGUUCUAGACACAUUUCAUGGGAAUGUUGCAAGAACAUUCAUGUGUCCAGGUUCCUAAGGGUUAGGAGAAUGUUCCGCCCGUCCAAACAUACUGUAUACAGAAGAUGGUUGCCAUGUUCUCAGAACAUAAGAUAGUAAUGUUCUAGUAACGUUUCAUGGGAACAUUGCAAAAACAGUGUGUAAAAAAAAAAAUCCAUUACACAUCCUGUUGCUGAGCCAAUCAAGGCCCUGAUCAGUGAACCACUGAGAGCUCUUUGUCUGUUGGCAGAGUUGGGUAUACUCUCACACACAGUGAAUAAUUGAACUUGCAAAGUGUAAUCAUGUGUGUCAAAUAUGUAAGUUAUAAGCACUAACUCUUAUUCAACAUGUCCUCACCUGGGAUUUGAACUCACAACCUCUUGGUCUACAGUACUCCAAUCUUCCUGCUCUCAAUAGUUAGAUGAAUGGAUAUCAGGCAGGGACAUGGUGGCCAUGUCCGUGUCAGAUAUCCAUUAAUCUGAAGAUUGUGUCAUCAUUGAUUUGAUUGACUUAUUUCACAGCAAUUUAAGGACUUUGUGUAUAGGUGUCUAAUGUUGGUGGGGCAUAUAAACCUGUUUUACUGAUACUCCUGAAUCACUAUUAUCAAUAAAAUACUUUUAACAGAGCUGGAAUUUAGUUUGAAAGUGCAUUCACCCUACUACUUACACCCAUCAAGUUGUUUCAGAUCUACACAAGUGUGUAGGGAAGAGAGGUUAGGGUUUCUUCUGGACAGGACCUAACUGUACUAGACUAUAGACUAGACUAUAGACUAACUAUACAUGCCCUAGAGAUAACCCUUAUUGGGAAAGUGGUUAGGGUGUUUGUCAUUAAUGAUGCUGGCCUGGGCUUGAGACCUGCUAAGGGAGUCAUCCUACGCUCACGUUCUCAGCACUAUAUGUUAAUGACAGUUACAACACACUUAUCUGUUCUAAUUCAAAUGAGUUUGAAAGAUGGGAAUCUGUAGGAUUACCUUUGAGCACUAAAUGAUGACCAUAUUUCCACUACCUCUCAUAUGUUAUCAGUAUUUAUUCAUUCUAUACAGCUACCUAGAUUAAAUAAAGGUUCAAUGAAAUCAAUUGUUUUCUUGAAAUCCACACCGUUCAAAAAUUGGAUUUAGCAGCUGCAGAUUGCAGAUUAACAUAUUGUGAUGUCUGCUUUGUCCCAAGUGAUUCUGUUGCAAUCUGUCUGUUUUUCCACAUUAAAACUUGGAGAUGGAA